Molecule: transfer RNA, 85 nt
Filed under: Prevotella micans F0438
Lineage: Bacteria; Pseudomonadati; Bacteroidota; Bacteroidia; Bacteroidales; Prevotellaceae
Description: tRNA-Leu
Rfam family: tRNA
About the family: Transfer RNA (tRNA) molecules are approximately 80 nucleotides in length. Their secondary structure includes four short double-helical elements and three loops (D, anti-codon, and T loops).
Source: RNAcentral
GCGCCUGUGGCGGAACUGGUAGACGCGCUAGACUUAGGAUCUAGUGAUUCCAAUCGUGCAGGUUCGAGUCCUGUUAGGCGCACUA